AACGAACGCUGGCGGCAGGCUUAACACAUGCAAGUCGAACGGUUGUAGCAAUACAGCAGUGGCAGACGGGUGAGUAACACGUGGGAACCUUCCUAGGGGUACGGAACAACUCAGGGAAACUUGAGCUAAUACCGUAUACGUCCGUGAGGAGAAAGAUUUAUCGCCCUUAGACGGGCCCGCGUCCUAUUAGUUAGUUGGUGAGGUAACGGCUCACCUAGGCAAUGAUAGGUAGGCGGCCUUAACGGGUGGUCGCCCACACUGGGAUUGAGAUACGGCCCAGACUCCUACGGGAGGCAGCAGUCGAGAAUAGUCUACAAUGGUCGGAAGACUGAUAGUGCGACGCCGCGUGAACGAUGAAUCCCUUCGGGGUGUAAAGUUCUUUUAUAUGUGAGCAGUGCUUCUUAUAUUAACAGUAUGGGGAGAGAGAUAUUAGCAUAUGAAUAAGCAACGGCUAACUCCGUG
RNAcentral lists this ribosomal RNA (462 nucleotides) under uncultured bacterium. RNAcentral describes it as "bacterial SSU rRNA". It matches the Rfam family "Bacterial small subunit ribosomal RNA", at positions 29 to 507 of the family's 1533-position model. The record is from RNAcentral.